AAAAUAAAUCAAUUCAAAAAUCAACAAAAUAAUUCGGUUCGGUUCGGUUCGAUUCAAUCAAAUUUUUUUUCUCUCCAAAAACGAACUGAAACGAAAGAGUCAAAAUUCUUAAAAUGUAAAAUUGAACUAAACCAAAUCAUCUUAAAAACCGAACCGAAUUAUAAAAUUAAGGCGGUUCAAUUUAUUCGAUUUAAAUCAAAUAGUGCCCACCUCAAAAGAUAGAUAAAUUAUUUAUUUAAUUUAUCAACAUUGAGUAUGACCAACUCAAUAAAG
This 273-nucleotide unclassified non-coding RNA is filed under the name Hevea brasiliensis (rubber tree). Lineage: Eukaryota; Viridiplantae; Streptophyta; Magnoliopsida; Malpighiales; Euphorbiaceae. The record is from RNAcentral.